Tupaia belangeri (northern tree shrew) is the source of this 119-nucleotide ribosomal RNA. The record is from Ensembl. NCBI's taxonomy places the organism in Eukaryota, Metazoa, Chordata, Mammalia, Scandentia, Tupaiidae.
GUCUAUGGCCAUAUCACCCUGAACAUGUCCAAUCUUGUCUGAUCUCAGAAGCUAAGCAGGGUUGGGCCUGGUUAGUACUUGGAUGGGAGACUUCCUGAGAAUACUGUGUGCUGUUGGCU